UUAAGCGACUAAGCGUACACGGUGGAUGCCCUGGCAGUCAGAGGCGAUGAAGGGCGUGCUAAUCUGCGAUAAGCGCCGGUAAGGUGAUAUGAACCGUUAUAACCGGCGAUACCCGAAUGGGGAAACCCAGUGUGACUCGUCACACUAUCAUUAACUGAAUCCAUAGGUUAAUGAGGCGAACCGGGGGAACUGAAACAUCUAAGUACCCCGAGGAAAAGAAAUCAACCGAGAUUCCCCCAGUAGCGGCGAGCGAACGGGGAGGAGCCCAGAGCCUGAAUCAGCAUGUGUGUUAGUGGAAGCGUCUGGAAAGGCGCGCGAUACAGGGUGACAGCCCCGUACACAAAAGCGCAUGUGCUGUGAGCUCGAUGAGUAGGGCGGGACACGUGGUAUCCUGUCUGAAUAUGGGGGGACCAUCCUCCAAGGCUAAAUACUCCUGACUGACCGAUAGUGAACCAGUACCGUGAGGGAAAGGCGAAAAGAACCCCGGCGAGGGGAGUGAAAAAGAACCUGAAACCGUGUACGUACAAGCAGUGGGAGCACAGGUUUACCUGUGUGACUGCGUACCUUUUGUAUAAUGGGUCAGCGACUUAUAUUCUGUAGCAAGGUUAACCGCAUAGGGGAGCCGGAGGGAAACCGAGUCUUAACCGGGCGUUAAGUUGCAGGGUAUAGACCCGAAACCCGGUGAUCUAGCCAUGGGCAGGUUGAAGGUUGGGUAACACUAACUGGAGGACCGAACCGACUAAUGUUGAAAAAUUAGCGGAUGACCUGUGGCUGGGGGUGAAAGGCCAAUCAAACCGGGAGAUAGCUGGUUCUCCCCGAAAGCUAUUUAGGUAGCGCCUCGUGAAUUCAUCUCCGGGGGUAGAGCACUGUUUCGGCUAGGGGGCCAUCCCGGCUUACCAACCCGAUGCAAACUGCGAAUACCGGAGAAUGUUAUCACGGGAGACACACGGCGGGUGCUAACGUCCGUCGUGAAGAGGGAAACAACCCAGACCGCCAGCUAAGGUCCCAAAGUCAUGGUUAAGUGGGAAACGAUGUGGGAAGGCCCAGACAGCCAGGAUGUUGGCUUAGAAGCAGCCAUCAUUUAAAGAAAGCGUAAUAGCUCACUGGUCGAGUCGGCCUGCGCGGAAGAUGUAACGGGGCUAAACCAUGCACCGAAGCUGCGGCAGCGACGCUUAUGCGUUGUUGGGUAGGGGAGCGUUCUGUAAGCCUGUGAAGGUGGCCUGUGAGGGUUGCUGGAGGUAUCAGAAGUGCGAAUGCUGACAUAAGUAACGAUAAAGCGGGUGAAAAGCCCGCUCGCCGGAAGACCAAGGGUUCCUGUCCAACGUUAAUCGGGGCAGGGUGAGUCGACCCCUAAGGCGAGGCCGAAAGGCGUAGUCGAUGGGAAACGGGUUAAUAUUCCCGUACUUGGUGUUACUGCGAAGGGGGGACGGAGAAGGCUAUGUUGGCCGGGCGACGGUUGUCCCGGUUUAAGCGUGUAGGUGUGUGUUCCAGGUAAAUCCGGUUCACUUUAACACUGAGGCGUGAUGACGAGGCACUACGGUGCUGAAGCAACAAAUGCCCUGCUUCCAGGAAAAGCCUCUAAGCAUCAGGUAACAUCAAAUCGUACCCCAAACCGACACAGGUGGUCAGGUAGAGAAUACCAAGGCGCUUGAGAGAACUCGGGUGAAGGAACUAGGCAAAAUGGUGCCGUAACUUCGGGAGAAGGCACGCUGACACGUAGGUGAAGUGAUUUACUCAUGGAGCUGAAGUCAGUCGAAGAUACCAGCUGGCUGCAACUGUUUAUUAAAAACACAGCACUGUGCAAACACGAAAGUGGACGUAUACGGUGUGACGCCUGCCCGGUGCCGGAAGGUUAAUUGAUGGGGUCAGCGCAAGCGAAGCUCCUGAUCGAAGCCCCGGUAAACGGCGGCCGUAACUAUAACGGUCCUAAGGUAGCGAAAUUCCUUGUCGGGUAAGUUCCGACCUGCACGAAUGGCGUAAUGAUGGCCAGGCUGUCUCCACCCGAGACUCAGUGAAAUUGAACUCGCUGUGAAGAUGCAGUGUACCCGCGGCAAGACGGAAAGACCCCGUGAACCUUUACUAUAGCUUGACACUGAACAUUGAGCCUUGAUGUGUAGGAUAGGUGGGAGGCUUUGAAGCGUGGACGCCAGUCUGCGUGGAGCCGACCUUGAAAUACCACCCUUUAAUGUUUGAUGUUCUAACGUGGACCCGUNAUCCGGGUUGCGGACAGUGUCUGGUGGGUAGUUUGACUGGGGCGGUCUCCUCCUAAAGAGUAACGGAGGAGCACGAAGGUUGGCUAAUCCUGGUCGGACAUCAGGAGGUUAGUGCAAUGGCAUAAGCCAGCUUGACUGCGAGCGUGACGGCGCGAGCAGGUGCGAAAGCAGGUCAUAGUGAUCCGGUGGUUCUGAAUGGAAGGGCCAUCGCUCAACGGAUAAAAGGUACUCCGGGGAUAACAGGCUGAUACCGCCCAAGAGUUCAUAUCGACGGCGGUGUUUGGCACCUCGAUGUCGGCUCAUCACAUCCUGGGGCUGAAGUAGGUCCCAAGGGUAUGGCUGUUCGCCAUUUAAAGUGGUACGCGAGCUGGGUUUAGAACGUCGUGAGACAGUUCGGUCCCUAUCUGCCGUGGGCGCUGGAGAACUGAGGGGGGCUGCUCCUAGUACGAGAGGACCGGAGUGGACGCAUCACUGGUGUUCGGGUUGUCAUGCCAAUGGCACUGCCCGGUAGCUAAAUGCGGAAGAGAUAAGUGCUGAAAGCAUCUAAGCACGAAACUUGCCCCGAGAUGAGUUCUCCCUGAGACUUAGAGUCUCCUGAAGGAACGUUGAAGACGACGACGUUGAUAGGCCGGGUGUGUAAGCGCAGCGAUGCGUUGAGCUAACCGGUACUAAUGAACCGUGAGGCUUAACCUU
RNAcentral lists this ribosomal RNA (2906 nucleotides) under Salmonella enterica subsp. enterica serovar Weltevreden. RNAcentral's name for it is "bacterial LSU rRNA". It matches the Rfam family "Bacterial large subunit ribosomal RNA". Lineage: Bacteria; Pseudomonadati; Pseudomonadota; Gammaproteobacteria; Enterobacterales; Enterobacteriaceae. The record is from RNAcentral.